RNAcentral lists this ribosomal RNA (303 nucleotides) under uncultured bacterium. Its description in RNAcentral is "partial 16S ribosomal RNA". It matches the Rfam family "Bacterial small subunit ribosomal RNA", at positions 510 to 808 of the family's 1533-position model. The record is from RNAcentral.
AGCAGCGCCGCGGUAAUACGAAGGGUGCAAGCGUUGUCCGGAAUUAUUGGGCGUAAAGGGCUCGCAGGCGGUUUCUUAAGUCUGAUGUGAAAGCCCCCGGCUCAACCGGGGAUGGUCAUUGGAAACUGGGAAACUUGAGUGCAGAAGAGGAGAGUGGAAUUCCACGUGUAGCGGUGAAAUGCGUAGAGAUGUGGAGGAACACCAGUGGCGAAGGCGACUCUCUGGUCUGUAACUGACGCUGAGGAGCGAAAGCGUGGGGAGCGAACAGGAUUAGAUACCCCAGUAGUCCCUGUCUCUUAUACA